RNAcentral lists this ribosomal RNA (439 nucleotides) under uncultured bacterium. Its description in RNAcentral is "partial 16S ribosomal RNA". It matches the Rfam family "Bacterial small subunit ribosomal RNA", at positions 339 to 795 of the family's 1533-position model. The record is from RNAcentral.
CUACGGGAUGCUGCAGUGAGGAAUAUUGCACAAUGGAGGAAACUCUGAUGCAGCAACGCCGCGUGGAGGAUGACGCAUUUCGGUGUGUAAACUCCUUUUAUAUGUCAAGAAAAUGACGGUAGCAUAUGAAUAAGCACCGGCUAACUCCGUGCCAGCAGCCGCGGUAAUACGGAGGGUGCAAGCGUUACUCGGAAUCACUGGGCGUAAAGGACGCGUAGGCGGGAUAUCAAGUCAGGUGUGAAAUCCUACAGCUUAACUGUAGAACUGCACUUGAAACUGGUAACCUAGAGUAUGGGAGGGGGAGAUGGAAUUAGUGGUGUAGGGGUAAAAUCCGUAGAUAUCACUAGGAAUACCUAAAGUGAAGGCGAUCUCCUGGAACAUAACUGACGCUAAGGCGUGAAAGCGUGGGGAGCAAACAGGAUUAGAUACCCCCGUAGUC